UGCACACAAAAAGAAAUUUAAAAUAAAAAUGGCUUAAAAUAGAAAGUUAUUCACAAAGUCCAGAGGUAAGUGCUUGAUAUGACUUGGCUGUGUCCCCACCCAAAUUUCAUCUUGAAUUGUAGUUCCCAUAAUCCCCAAGUGUCAUGGGAGGAAUCUGGUAGGAAGUAAUUGAAACAUGGGGCAGUUACCCCAAUGCUGCUAUUCUGAUAGUGAUUGAGAAUGAGUUCUCACAAGAUGUGAUGGUUUUAUAAUGCUAUCUCCCUUUUGCUCAUUCUUCUUUUUGCUGCUGCAAUGUGAAGAAGGGUGUGUUUGCUUCCCCUUCCACCAUGACUGUAAGCUUCCUGAGGCCUCCCCAGUCAUGCUGAACUACUGGGGACCACUAAGCCAUCUUAGAAGCCAUGUCUUGAAAAUGUCAGUGCUUUCUUCAACCCAGAUCCCUAAAUGACGAGUGGAGAGUAGCUUCCCUAACCUGCAUCCCCUUCUGCCCACCUAAAACUGCUCAGGAUAGUUGAUAUCAACAAGAAAAGCUGCUUCAUUGUGUUGAGUCAUUGUGUAUUUUUGUGUUAAUUUGUAACAGUAGCUAACAUUUCCCUAAUAAAUUCAGAGUAUAUCUUG
Sapajus apella (tufted capuchin) is the source of this 615-nucleotide long non-coding RNA. RefSeq lists it as uncharacterized. The record is from RefSeq and is a predicted model, not a curated record. NCBI's taxonomy places the organism in Eukaryota, Metazoa, Chordata, Mammalia, Primates, Cebidae. The transcript is spliced from 2 exons.